This 253-nucleotide ribosomal RNA is filed under the name uncultured bacterium. RNAcentral's name for it is "partial 16S ribosomal RNA". It matches the Rfam family "Bacterial small subunit ribosomal RNA", at positions 524 to 776 of the family's 1533-position model. The record is from RNAcentral.
UACAGAGGUCUCAAGCGUUGUUCGGAAUUACUGGGCGUAAAGAGUGUGUAGGCGGUGCUCUAAGUUCGGUGUGAAAUCUCCUGGCUCAACUGGGAGGGUGCGCCGGAAACUGGAGUGCUUGAGCGUGGGAGAGGAAAGCGGAAUUCCUGGUGUAGCGGUGAAAUGCGUAGAUAUCGGGAGGAACACCUGUGGCGAAAGCGGCUCACUGGACCACAACUGACGCUGAGGCGCGAAAGCUAGGGGAGCAAACAGG